Molecule: ribosomal RNA, 365 nt
Filed under: Chilenodes australis
Lineage: Eukaryota; Metazoa; Arthropoda; Arachnida; Araneae; Malkaridae
Description: partial 16S ribosomal RNA
Source: RNAcentral
UAGCAUAAUCAUUAGUUUUUUAAUUAAAGACUAGAAUGAAAGAUUUAACAUUUAAAUUACUUUUUUUAAUAUAAAAUUUCAAAUUAUAUUAAUAAUAAAAAUAUUAUUUUUAAAAAAAUAGACAACAAGACCCUAUUGAGCUUAACUAUAGUUUAGCUGGGGCAGCUUAUUAAUUAAAAUUUUAAUAUAAAUAAAAUAAAUGACCUAAUAUAAUUAACAAAUGAAUAAGCUACCAUAGGGAUAACAGCGUAAUAAAAUUUUAAAGCUCUUAUUAAAAAAAAAGAUUACGACCUCGAUGUUGAAUAGUAUAACAAUAAGGUGCAACUUCCUUAUUAGAGGGUCUGUUCGACCCUUAAUUUACUACA